This 117-nucleotide ribosomal RNA is filed under the name Escherichia coli. RNAcentral describes it as "partial 16S ribosomal RNA". It matches the Rfam family "Bacterial small subunit ribosomal RNA", at positions 1 to 110 of the family's 1533-position model. RNAcentral also lists the same sequence under 9 other names. Lineage: Bacteria; Pseudomonadati; Pseudomonadota; Gammaproteobacteria; Enterobacterales; Enterobacteriaceae. The record is from RNAcentral.
AAAUUGAAGAGUUUGAUCAUGGCUCAGAUUGAACGCUGGCGGCAGGCCUAACACAUGCAAGUCGAACGGUAACAGGAAGCAGCUUGCUGCUUUGCUGACGAGUGGCGGACGGGUGAG